Long non-coding RNA from Oxyura jamaicensis (ruddy duck), 705 nucleotides. RefSeq lists it as uncharacterized. NCBI's taxonomy places the organism in Eukaryota, Metazoa, Chordata, Aves, Anseriformes, Anatidae. The record is from RefSeq and is a predicted model, not a curated record. The transcript has 2 exons.
CUAAAAGCAACACAAUAAACAUACAGAGAGAUCUGCAGCCCAGUGCUCAGGGAAGGGCAACUCGGUUCUCUUCAUUCCCUGAGCAGUCAGGAGGAGGCAGGGUCUUCAGUCAUCCCCGCUUCGCUAGCUGGACAGAGGGGAGGAGAUGUAGAGAUGUUUGUAGGAGCAGUGAACUGUAUAGCCACACUACAUCUGCAGAUGCCAUGCCUCAGAUAGCCCUCUCAUAUCCCUGAUGUGAAGAAUUCUUCCUGGGCUGGUGCAGCUGUGCCUUGGCCCACCAGGCAGCUGGACUUAACAAGCUCUCCCUUCGCUAUGUGUGGACAUUUACUUGUUGUGAUGUUUUUUGCUUAAGGAGGUUGAAAGAAGCUGAAACCGUGACAUGAGCUAUGCAGGCUACCAUGCACAGGGGUGUGCUCAUCAGAAGGAUGAACUCUCAGUCACAGAGGAAAAGACAUUACGGCAGUGGAGACAGAAAGUGAGUCAUGUGGGCAUCUCAAACAUAAUGCAAGAUUGAUUAAUUUCUGCAACGUGCAGCAACUGUUUCUGAAGCUUGGGCUCAUAGUGAUGUUUAAAGUGAACUUAUCUGCUGGGUAAUGAUUUAAUUUGUACACUUACUAAUUGUUGUAACAGCCAGGCAGCAGGGUAUUGAUUAUGUGCUGUGAAUGUUGCAUAGGCAACACAAUAAAUGGAAAGAGGUAGGUGUUC